GGUGCAAAAUCGUGAAUGUUUCAUGAGCAGAACUGUGGCUGCGGUUUACCAAACUGACGCAGAAAUAAUCAUUUAAAUUAGCCGGCUUCAUCAGGGAAAGAGCCACUCAUUGAUUAAGUGGCUGGAAAUGACUGAUUAUAGAUGUCAUUGGAGCGGGCAUUCUCCACUUGCUGUCCUUGAUUGAAGAGGCCGUUGAAGGUGGUGUCUGAAGAGGGCUUUUCAGGUUCUGGAAUGGGCACCCAUUUGAUUUUUUUUUUUAAACUAUAAUGCUGCACGCUCUCCGUACUGGAGUUUCUGCAGUGAAUUUCAACAGGUAGACAAAAGACCUUUUAAGGUAAGGUCCCAGUAAAUUAUAUUUCUCGGUUUGUUUUUAACGGGAACAUUUACUGGUACAGUGUAGUCCAGUGUCUGCAAAUACAUGCAUUGGGACCUUGAAAAGAAUUCACUUUUUAGUGUUUUUACUGCAGUUUUUUUUUGGUGGAGCUGGGUGCUAUUUUGCAGUCAGAACCAAAACUUUCUUG
Molecule: long non-coding RNA, 521 nt
Filed under: Bos taurus (domestic cattle)
Lineage: Eukaryota; Metazoa; Chordata; Mammalia; Artiodactyla; Bovidae
Description: long non-coding RNA NONBTAT027074
Source: RNAcentral